CUGGCUCCCUCGGCACUCGCCGUGUCUCCAAGCCGCUGAAUUGCAUCCCCGCGGGAGCAGGGGCGAGGGUCGCCUGCAGCCCGGCAUCCUCCUCUUGCCCUCUCUCACCUCCCUUCUCCCCGAGGAAGCUCCUUUGCUCCUUUUCUCCUCUGUCGGUCCUCAAGUGCAUCAGUAAUCCCUGCUGCGGCUGCUGCUGCGGCUGCACCUGGGAACGGCAGGAUCUGCAAGUUAUUUCUGCGCCGGUAAAGCCAUAAGUGAAGAGGAAAAGCCAUGUCCAGUACAGGAGAGCAACGUGCCAGGCUGGGUACCAGCCAGCAACUUUUUCCAUCGCUGCCGACUGCUGAUGAGUGCGAGGAGAAGGAGCAAGAAGGAGAGGGCAGAGCGAGAGAGCCGGGCGCUGCCGAUUCCGCCGCCGCGGAGUAAACACGGCGAGAACUCCACGGCAUUUCAGAAAACGAUUUACAGAUUUGUUCCACAUUCUUCUAGAGAUUUCACUCAAAUGCUCACUGGUGACACGUCUUGGGAUAUUAGCACAGCACCAGAGGUGAAGGGAGACUCACAGUAAUUCAGGCUGGGCAUAACUUCAUGCUGCUUACAACAAUGAUGGAUUGUCUGCAGUGUAACCACCUGACCUCAGCUAAAUCUAGCAAUUAACUGCAUACCUGUUUCCACAUCUCCCAGCUAAAUGGUUACUAUUAGUUACAGCCUGUCGGGUAAUAACAAUAAUUAACACUCACGCUUAAACAGCUCCUUUCCUUUACUAAGCCCCAACUCCUCACAAAGGCCACUUUUGGGGGAAACUGAGUCAAAGUAUGAUCAGCAGAGUAGUAAUGAUUGGAGGUGGAGCUACCUUGUUAUCAGCCCAAUCCUUUUUUUUCUGUUCAACAGAUUGAGCAGGUGGAUCUAUCCCAGAGGAUCAACUAAAAAGUGUCACCUUCUCAGCACAAGUCUCUUAAGGAGGCUUUAAUCUGAAGGAAUGAAAUUCAGGGAUGAGUAGGUGAGACAGAAAAAGAACUUGGAAGAAGGAAAUUAGUAAGAGGUCAGAGGAAAUUUCUCUUGGGAUUGUUAUAGAGGUUUGCAUGUCAAUGAGUGGCUAAGGCUAAGGAGAGAAACAAUAUAGCUGUCUCAUUUAGGCAGAUGAUUAUCUCUGCAUUGUGACGAGUGGCCAUCGAGUGAUAGGGAUGUGCCCUGAGCACAUCUUAUGCAGUGUGCACACACUACACCUGCAGAGCUCUUCAGCAAAUGCACAACAAUCAGUCAUGGAGAGAAAACACUGGAUCCAUCCAAGGACCACAGACACAUUUUCCAGCUUAGACCUUGUUGUGGGUGGACACAGGAGACACAUAGAGUAUGAGCCUUCCCCUGAGCCCUGUUUUCAGGAAUUACCAGUUUAGGAGAUUCUAACAACAGCAGAAACUGCACCUGAUCCCUUACUUUUAAUAAGUAAUAAUGUAGUAGGACUUUUAAUGGACCUGUCUUCCCAAAAUUUGUCUAAUCUGUAUUUAUACUCCUGGUGUCUGAGGCAAGCUGUGAUAGUCAAGCUUACAAUCUGAUUAUGUGUACUUUUGAAUACUCGUGGUCUGCUCUUAUCUGAGAGAGACAUUUUAAAUCGCUGUAAUCUAAUCUUGCUGCCAGCCAUCUUUUGCCACAGAUGAUGUGAUGAUUGAGCCGUCAGAGAUAAGAAAGCGGAGUCUUUGGCACAAAAGAAUAAUCUGCUGUCCUUUGAUGUAAGGGAUAGCUUUCUCGGUUGGGAGCAGGCACCGAGUUCCUGUACUCAGACAAAAAGAAGCUGCUGUGAUGUGACUGAGCUCCAUGGCUGUGCCCAGAGAAGGGAAAGACUGCUUUCAUUGGUACCCAGAUCUGAGGCACCACCUGAUCUGAUAUUUCAGUACCCCAUGUGCAGCUCCAGCAUCUGGUGAGAAGGUGUUUUCCAUGAGAGCUGCUACACUACCUGGUCAGGAGACUGUUCUGUUCCACGUGUCCAGUAUUGCCUGGGGAGAGGGGAUAUGAACAAGCCAUAGGAACCAUGGAAGAAGAGGCAGGUAUAAAACAUGAUACCAUGAGAGCAAGUUAAAAUUGCAGGUUUUAGCUGGCCUCUUCAGCCUCUGCCUUUGCCAGGAUGAGCAGUGGCUGGGGGUUUUCAUCUGCACCAGGAGGAACUACCUCAAAGCCAUAGAUCUGCUCAUGCACAAGAGUGUUGGGGAGUUUCUUGCUUCUGGGUUCAGGAAGAAUAAGCUGGAAUCUAGGGAGGGGAGCAGAUGCCAUUUCUAGGUAUAUGUUGCAGUGGAGCAAGCAUCUUCCUCAGGAUUUAUAUAGCCCUGAGAAGAGAAGCAGGAACAGCUUGAAACGUGGAUGAGUACACAAAUCUUCACUUGGGACUGGGCAGGUUCUGAGACAGGUGGAAAUAUGGGCUUGGUCAAGGACAUAAAUCCUUAUGACAGUGAUUGCAAUAAUCUGCCAUCUGCAGGAAUCCUUUCCCCUGGAGUGUUUCAUAUUCGCUAUCAGAGACUACCUUUGUGAAAAAUGUGCUCCUGAGAGACUUCCUGGCUCCACAGCAUUUCUGUCUCCUGAAACAUGCUAGGCUAUGCACCCUGUGUGAUGGGAGCACCUCAGGGACUAUGCCAACCCUGCCUGUCCUGUGAUGGAAGGAAGGGAGAAAAAGGAAUGAGAGAGGAUAUGGAGAACAAAACAGAACUGGGUGGGCUUAACCAGCUGAGUUUUUAGUAUAAGGCAGGGGCAUAAUAUAGCCUGGCCUUUUGUGAAUCUGAAUGCUUUUAGACAAAUGAGUAUAAUCUUUCCCUAGUAAAUAUUUGUAUCAUCAGGAUUUUUUGAAUCUACACUCAUUUUAAAUAAUGACUUUUCUCAGAGAAGACUGUGUAAUGAACGGAGACCAAGAAGAACACUGCUCCAUUGAUUCCUAUCAAGCCAUGAGAAUACUGAACUUCAGUUGUCACUAGGGCAGUUCACCUGACAUUCUCUCAGCUCUGGGUUUAUCUGCAUUGACAGGACAAUAAAAAUUCUUGUCUAUCACUCUACUGCCAUCACCCUUGGCUUCUGCACUUGGUUGUGGAAGAAUUUAAUGGAGGUAAGAGAAUAAUGAUGAAGAGAAAAAGAUUACAAACUUAAUGGCCUGUGAAUGGUGUUUAUAGUUUGUCAUCGUUACAGAUGGUGUUUUCUUGCUUGUGCACCUUGCUUGAUUUCUCUUAGCCAGAAGUGUUGAUGAAGUAGAAGUUCAAAGUACAACUAAAGAUAAAAUUCCUAAUAGAAGAAAGAAACCUUUUUACUUCAAACUACCUUUUUACUGCAAGAAAAGUAAAAAAUAGAAGAAAAAAAUGAGAACCCUUGAGGCUGAUGGAAGAUGAGAGCUUGCUCAUUGACAGUAUUUUAUUUCAGAACUGAAAAAAAUGACCAGAAAAAAAUUUCUGUGAGGCAACUCUGUCCUGCUUCACUGAUGCAUUGUUUCUUAAGUCAUGGUCAGAAAUCCUUUUCUGGAGACAGUUGCAUCACUCACAGGUCAACCAGCAGAGCUUUCCAUACACACACUCCCAUGGUGCACAAUCAGGAGAGAAGGAUCUGCUCAUCAGUUAAACCUGUCCUCAUUUACUCUGCCAUUUCUGCCUAAAGCAAGGUGUGGGAUAUUCACAUGAAUUUUGCUGCUAGGUGAUAACCAGGGCAGAUAUCCACACCUGAGCAGCACAGUGCACAGUCAGAGAUACCUUCCCAACUGGGGCAUCUGUUUGGAGAGUUAAUGUUUGCAUAGGAUCUAUCUGGCCAGAAACCAAGGCAGAGGAAGAAAGGGAAUCUUCCUCUCAUCUUUUCCCCCUCCAGCCUGGCAGCUCCUUCAGCAGCUUCUCAGAUCUGUGACAUCCAGCUGUGAUUCUGUAGCUUGGUGGGACAGGGAGAGAUGCACCCUCUAAGGAGGGAAGAGGAAACAGUCAUGAGAGACAGCUUGUCCUCCUACCUUGGUGAGAAACUUCCAGAAGGAAGGAAUUGGAAUGUGUAGGGGAAAAUCAGGAGAAAAUGCAAAGAAAAUCUGUAUUUCCUUGUUGUCAAUCUUUUCAUCAAGAAUCGUGAAGUGAAUUUCAGGCUCUUGAUGUCAUGGGUUUAUGUAAUAUUAGAAACAUCCUUCAUUUUCUUUAAUUUCUUUAAAAGAAAUAAGAAAAAAUAACUAGUCGUCUUAACUGUGGAGAACAUUGCAAAGACAAAGCUCUAAAUCUAAUCUGAAGUGUUCCAACACAAAAACAAAGCCAAAGCAGUAAAAUUAAAAUAUUCCACUUGAGCAUUUCAAAAAGGGUUUCUCUUUCUUUUUAUUCCCCUUUAAAAAUAGUCUCUGGAGCUAUUUUUGCCAGCCACAAAUCUGGUGGUUUUUUUUUUUAAUAUGUGUAUUUAAAACAAAUAAGUUUAUGUUACAUACGUAUAGAUAGAUAUGUAAAAGGGAAACAAUUUUUUUUUUGUAUCUGGACAAUCUGUUACAAUCACCUUGAAAUUAAUAUUAGUUUUCUGAAUCUCUUUGGUCCCUUUUUUAAACUCCAUUUGGCAUAGAAUUUUAAAAAAUCAGUUAUUUGUGUGAUUUAACUUAAUUGAGAUAUUUUCCAGAACACCUUGCAAUAUAAAAAUAAUUUAUUUCUAUAUGUUUGGAUAGAUUCUUUUUUGCUCACAGGGCUUAGCAAUUUGUCUGGGACAUCUGUGGGUGCAGCACCUGAAAUAUUAAAGCUCAUAUACAAAUAUUUGUUUCUGGUAAACAGGACACUGAUAAUGUAAUUUUAGGGUUAAACUUAAUAUUAGGUAUAAAAGAACUCUAUAAAAUAAUUUCAAAAUAGUUAAAAAUUAUGUCAGAUUUUUAUCAAAACCUUGAACAAAAAAGAAAAAGAAAUCCCCUCUUCAUCAGUAAAAAACCCUUUCAUCUAGAAAAAUGAGACUUAUUAAAUAAGGAUGACGAAAAAACAAUAACUCUGUCAGUUUAAUACAUGUAUACACACACAAAGGUCAAUAAAUAGCCCAAGUAAUGGAAGGAACUCAUAAGCAAUGCUUCUGCUGAUUUCAUUGCAAGCAUUUCCUGAGAUUACAUUUAUUUUUGUGAGUAUUGUUGCUUGGAAAGCUCUGUGUGUUUAAUAUCUAUUCUCACAUCGAGAAACCUUAGGGGAAAGACUCCAUUUGCAUUUACUUUCAUGUAAUUAAUAAUAAUUCAGGGUUUGUGCCUUUCUUAUGCCAAAACUGUGCUUGCCAGUGUUUGCAGCGUAUAUUAGUCCAAGUCUGAAUCACUCUGAUUUCCCCCUCUGUUUGAAACAAUGUUUGUUCAAAAGAUAUGAAGUGUGCUUCUCUUUUGUCUUCAUUCAAUCCAGACUAGAUUUGAACAUUUUUAUCCAGACUCCUGGAUAUUCUGCUUUAAAAUGGCUUCAAUUUUCCAGUCUGACCAAGUCUCCGUGUGCAUUUUUGUUCCUUUAUGCCUGAUUGCAAUCAGUGGGAGCCUCGUCAUUCAUUUCCAUGGAAUUGGGAUCAAGUUCGUUUGCAGAAUAACAGAUAUGUUUGCUGUCAUGAAAUAAGCCAGAUCUCAGGGCAGCAGCAUCCAGGGAACUUGAGAGAACAAGGAAUAAAUUCAGUCUCUGAUCUUCCUUGGGAGGAACCUAAGCAAGUCCUGGUUUAUUAGUGGUGACUGCCCUAAAUAACACAUCUUGAGUGUCUGCCCUUUAACUGCAAUAAAAGCUUCUUUUCUCACUCAGGCUCUCCCGGUAGUCAGCUCAUUUUAGUAUUUUUUUAUGAGGCCUCUGUCUUCUGCAAGAUUUCCUUCUCAUGAUUUCAAAUACUCAUUGACACACUGGGUAUUUUGGUGUUUUCAGCAUCUGUUGACUCUUUGAGGUUCAAACUGCAUCUUUUAUAAUUUGGUUCUUUUUUCAUUUUCCAAAAGAGGUAAAAGUUAAAAAACAAGACAUGGGCCCUGGAUUGUUUUUUUUUGUUUUGUUUUGUUUUGUCAGGUAGGUGCAUCAUUCUGCACAAUCUUAUUGCGUCUUUGUUGUUGUUUUUGCCAGACAACAUAAUUAUCAUGAUUGGUGGGUGGCCAACAAAGUUUUAAUUAGAUCCAGGGGGAUUUGAGCAGGACUAUGUAUUAAAAAAAAAUGCAAAACAACGUUGCUAGAAUUAUUGUUUUUUAUGUUGUGAGUCAUCCUCUGUAAAAUAUGAUGUUGCCUCUUUGCAUUUCCAGUUCUGCCACUCUCUUCUCCUGCCUUGCUCUUUCCCUUGGUUCACAGGGAGUGGUGAACUGGCAUUAACAUCCUUACACUGAGCCAGCCCUGCCAAGCUGCUGCUGCUAGAAAAUGUCCAGCCCCUGCCAAACAGAGCCAUUGAUCCUCCAGCUUGUGCCAGUUCAAAGGAGCACGGGAUGCAUAUCCAGCCUUGUGGAAGGGCUGACAAGUGAUUUGGGGCAGGCGGUUGGCACGGACAUCAGUGAGCAGCACUGGAGGCAGGGAGAGGGCUACACUCAGGAGAUCUUUCUGGCUCUGGUUGUAGUUAUUAGCUUUUGACUGGAAAAGGGCUGUUUUUUAUUUAUUCAGUAAUCUAAAAAUAUCCUGGUAAUGAAUUAACCUGAACAGGGGGAGGGGGACAAAAAGCCACGCAUAUUGAUUUUCUAAAAGCAGGCAGGAAUGCUGUUAUUUUCCAAUUAACGUUCAGCAUUAGAGAACAAUCCAGCUGGAAAGAACCAGCUAAGCAAUUCCAAGCUUUUUGCUUUCUGCACUUUUUCUAGUGAUAUUUUUCUCAUUUAACUUCUUAAAAAAGAAAAACCCUAAUAACAAUUUAGGCCAUUUCUUUGGCUAAUGGGGAUUAACUUUUUGUGGGCUCCAGUGGCAUGGCUAUGGGAUAACUAUGGUACAAAUCCAACUGUUCCUGCUGAAUCAGAAAGCAUGUUCAUCUAAUAAAGGCUGACCCUGCUCCAGUACUGGAGAAAAGUGUGAGACAAACCAUCUGAAUGCAGUAUUCAUGAUAAGGAAGCUUUUCUGUGAAACUCAGAGCAGGUCUGGGUUUCGGGUGAGACUGGUGAUGAGUUCUAGUCUGAUUUUGGCUGUCACCCUUUUAUUUCCACUUCUCUGUUUUAUUCUGUCUGGUAUAGUGUGCAUGGCUCUUCCUUCUUAUGGCUUGGCCUACUCAAGGCUCACCAGAUUCAAUAGUAAACAAUGAGUAAAAAUGACAUUAUCACAUCCAGCCCCUUAAGUCCCCUUUAAUGCCAUUGAGUGCAGCUGAAUGCUGUGACCAGGAGCAGCCUCCACCACCAACCCAGCAGCAGCUCAGGGCCACACCACUGGCUCUCCACUGGAUGCUGCAACUCAAGUUAUGCACCCAAAGCAACGAGCAGUGAUAACAGGGAAGCAGACUGGAAGCAGGGAAAUUACCACUUUCUGAGUAAACACAUGCACACACAGGUCGACAUACAUCUGCAUAAAUUGAGAUCCUUACUUUUUAAACAGGUUUGUUUCUGAGGUUCUAUCUGAGUUUUCAAGUUUUCUAUGCUUCCUGAAUUUUUAUCUUGCUCUCUUGCAGGUUGCCCUUUUCAAAUUAUUAACUUUUGCAGGGGUGAAUUCUACUGAGUUUAAGCAACAGCAGAGGUCGUCUGGCCAACAGCAUAUGCUGUAUUUCCAUGUAAUUUGUUCCUUUUCUCCCAAAUGCUCCAGGGACUCUGGCUGCAGACAGUUCAUAUUGGGACUUUACCUGGGAAACAAGUUGUGGAAAUAAGUGCUGAAACAGAAUUCAUCUUGGACUUGGCAAAGCAUUUGGAAAAACUACAAGCACACAUUACUACUAUAGUGAGACAGAAAUUUUGCCAGAUAUUUCUGAACAGUUUUGCAUAAAUUUCAAUAUAUAUAUAUGUUCUUAUUUAGCAAAUGUUUAUUUAGCUAUCACUGCAGUUUUCCUUUAAGGGUCUAGGAAGGGCCCAGGGAGAGCGACAAAACCACCAGCUUUUGCUGAGGGAUGAUUUGCCCCACAGCCAUACUGUGUGCUCAGAGUCUGGAGACAAAUUUUAGGGCCUGGAUUUAUUUAUAGUGUUUAAUAGAUGCUUUGAUAAUUACUUGCAUGGGAGUGGAAAACAAAUUCUCCAGAUUAAAAACCAUAAAGAAAGCUUGUUUGGAUUAGCAUGAUCAACCAAAAGCAUCCAUUUGAUUCUUGGUGUGUAUAUAUAAUUUACUGAGCUGCAAAAUAAACACACUCUACUGUU
Non-coding RNA from Zonotrichia albicollis (white-throated sparrow), 8203 nucleotides. The record is from RefSeq and is a predicted model, not a curated record. NCBI's taxonomy places the organism in Eukaryota, Metazoa, Chordata, Aves, Passeriformes, Passerellidae.